UUCUCGCCAGUAUAGGCGACACGGGAGC
Molecule: non-coding RNA, 28 nt
Filed under: Bombyx mori (domestic silkworm)
Lineage: Eukaryota; Metazoa; Arthropoda; Insecta; Lepidoptera; Bombycidae
Source: RNAcentral